Molecule: ribosomal RNA, 772 nt
Filed under: uncultured Neocallimastigales
Lineage: Eukaryota; Fungi; Neocallimastigomycota; Neocallimastigomycetes; Neocallimastigales
Description: partial large subunit ribosomal RNA
Rfam family: Eukaryotic large subunit ribosomal RNA (bases 5-662)
Source: RNAcentral
UGUACACGCUGUGACUAGCAUAUCAAUAAGCGGAGGAAAAGAAACUAACAAGGAUUCCCUUAGUAACGGCGAGUGAAGCGGGAAGAGCUCAAAUUUGAAAUCUUCAAGGUUUUACCUUGACGAAUUGUAGUUUAAAGAAGUGUUUUCUGCUGAAGUUUUGGUAAAAGUUCUUUGGAAUAGGACAUCAUAGAGGGUGAGAAUCCCGUAUUUGACCAUUAUUUUCAGCUUUGUGAUACACUUUCAAAGAGUCGGAUUGUUUGGGAAUGCAGUCCAAAAUGGGUGGUAAAUUUCAUCUAAAGCUAAAUAUUGGCGAGAGACCGAUAGCGAACAAGUACCGUGAGGGAAAGAUGAAAAGAACUUUGAAAAGAGAGUUAAAUAGUACGUGAAAUUGUCAAAAGGGAAGCGUUUAACACCAGUGUUGUUUUCUGAAAAUCAACCUCUGUUAGCUUUAUGCAUGUUUGUUUAGACCUAAUCAGCUAUCUUUCAUGUUCUAUUGUUUGCAGUGGUGCACUUUUCAGUUUACAGGUCAACAUCAGUUUUUUUUACCGUAAAAAAGUUAAAGAAAGGUAGCUCAUGGCUCCGGUCGUGAGUGUUAUAGUCUUUUUCCUAUGCGGUAGGAGAGACUGAGGUCUGCAGUGUAGGCUAUUUGGCUAGAUACUCAGGUGCUAUGUGAUACCAUUUCAUAAACAACUUGUUGAUUAUGUUUUGUCUAUUGCAUACUCGCUUGUACUAUCAUACCUACGCUUAGGAUGUUGAGUAGCGACAUACGCAC